GAAGUCUUACUCCCUGUUGCUUCUUCAGAGGAGCUCUGGUCUUUGCCAUCACUUUUGGCUGUUCAUCUCCAGUUUCUUCAGGCUUCCAGCACAGAUCCUUUCCAUCUCUGACACGAACUCGCACUGGACUCUGCAGUGAGCAUCAGGCCUUCGACUUUCGAUGGAUCCUCCAGCUCUUCAGCAUGAAGAUGGCCAUUUUACAGUGAACCUUAACUGAGACAGAUCCCUGGCAGUCAGCCAGUUCUGAUCCACCAAACAGAUGGCCACACAUUCUCAUAUGCUUGGGUUAUUUGAAAUCACUGUGAAUGGAAUGGACUGCUUAUGGAUGACUGGGAAAUGCAGCAAGGUGUGGGCAAGUUGUCCAUAUCGUCACACAGAGAGAAUUCACAUGAAGCAACAUAGUACAGAACUGAUCUGAACAAGAUGACGAAGAUGUUCUAGGUCCUCAAGAUCAGACAAUAGGGAAGUCAACAAUGGCUGUCAUAGUGUCUCUUCUCUUCAAAAUAGCUGUCCAUAACUUCAUGUAUGUUGAAAUUAAACAAAACAAA
Cavia porcellus (domestic guinea pig) is the source of this 548-nucleotide long non-coding RNA. RefSeq lists it as uncharacterized. The transcript is spliced from 3 exons. The record is from RefSeq and is a predicted model, not a curated record. NCBI's taxonomy places the organism in Eukaryota, Metazoa, Chordata, Mammalia, Rodentia, Caviidae.